RNAcentral lists this ribosomal RNA (393 nucleotides) under uncultured bacterium. Its description in RNAcentral is "partial 16S ribosomal RNA". It matches the Rfam family "Bacterial small subunit ribosomal RNA", at positions 523 to 919 of the family's 1533-position model. The record is from RNAcentral.
AUACGGAGGAUCCGAGCGUUAUCCGGAUUUAUUGGGUUUAAAGGGUGCGCAGGCGGCCAUUUAAGUCAGCGGUUAAAUCGUGGGGCUCAACCCCAUUCUGCCGUUGAUACUGGGUGGCUUGAUUGCGGUCGAGGUUGGCGGAAUUCGUUGUGUAGCGGUGAAAUGCAUAGAUAUGACGAAGAACACCGAUUGCGUAGGCAGCUGACCAGACCGCAAAUGACGCUCAUGCACGAAAGUGCGGGGAUCGAACAGGAUUAGAUACCCUGGUAGUCCGCACAGUAAACGAUGAAUACUUGUUUUCGGCGAUAUAAUGUCGGAGGCAAAGCGAAAGCGAUAAGUAUUCCACCUGGGGAGUACGCCGGCAACGGUGAAACUCAAAUGAAUUGACGGGGG